Molecule: transfer RNA, 82 nt
Organism: Sphaerobolus stellatus SS14
Lineage: Eukaryota; Fungi; Basidiomycota; Agaricomycetes; Geastrales; Sphaerobolaceae
Rfam family: tRNA
About the family: Transfer RNA (tRNA) molecules are approximately 80 nucleotides in length. Their secondary structure includes four short double-helical elements and three loops (D, anti-codon, and T loops).
Source: Rfam
GCACUAAUGGGGUAGUGGUAACCUUGGUCGUUGCCAAUCGAGCAUUAUCGACCAGCCAGGGGUUCAAUUCCCCUUUAGUGCA